GUUUAAUUAGUUUAUUAAAAUAGUAAAUUGUGGAUUUACAGAUGAUUUUUCAUUAAACA
This 59-nucleotide transfer RNA is filed under the name Haemaphysalis inermis. RNAcentral describes it as "tRNA-His". The record is from RNAcentral. Lineage: Eukaryota; Metazoa; Arthropoda; Arachnida; Ixodida; Ixodidae.